RNAcentral lists this ribosomal RNA (274 nucleotides) under uncultured bacterium. RNAcentral describes it as "partial 16S ribosomal RNA". It matches the Rfam family "Bacterial small subunit ribosomal RNA", at positions 523 to 796 of the family's 1533-position model. The record is from RNAcentral.
AUACGGAGGGUGCAAGCGUUAUCCGGAUUCAUUGGGUUUAAAGGGUGCGCAGGCGGAUAUUUAAGUCAGUGGUGAAAUCCCGGGGCUCAACCUCGGAACUGCCAUUGAUACUGAAUAUCUGGAAUACGGUUGAAGUGGGCGGAAUGUAGCAUGUAGCGGUGAAAUGCAUAGAGAUGCUACAGAACACCGAUCGCGAAGGCAGCUCACUAAGCCGAUAUUGACGCUCAGGCACGAAAGCGUGGGGAGCGAACGGGAUUAGAAACCCUUGUAGUCC